RNAcentral lists this ribosomal RNA (442 nucleotides) under uncultured bacterium. Its description in RNAcentral is "partial 16S ribosomal RNA". It matches the Rfam family "Bacterial small subunit ribosomal RNA", at positions 338 to 795 of the family's 1533-position model. The record is from RNAcentral.
CCUACGGGUGGCAGCAGUGGGGAAUAUUGGGCAAUGGGCGCAAGCCUGACCCAGCAAUGCCGCGUGAAGGAAGAAGGCUUUCGGGUUUUAAACUUCUUUGACUGGGGAAGAGCAGAAGACGGUACCCUGAAAACAAUCCACGGCUAACUACGUGCCAGCAGCCGCGGUAAUACGAAGGUGGCAAGCGUUGUCCGGAUUUACUGGGUGUAAAGGGCGUGUAGCCGGGAAGGCAAGUCAGAUGUGAAAUCCUGAGGCUUAACCUCCGUAUUGCAUUUGAAACUGUUUUUCUUGAGUACUGUAGAGGCAGACGGAAUUCCUUGUGUAGCGGGGAAAUGCGUAGAUAUAAGGAAGAACACCAGUGGCGAAGGCAGUCUACUGAACUGCAACUGACAGUGAGGCGCGAAAGUGUGGGGAGCAAACAGGAUUAGAUACCCCUGUAGUC